AUCAACUUUCGAUGGUAGGAUAGAGGCCUACCAUGGUGGUAACGGGUAACGGGGUGUUAGGGCACGACACCGGAGAGGGAGCCUGAGAAACGGCUACCACAUCCAAGGAUGGCAGCAGGCGCGCAAAUUACCCAAUCCCGACACGGGGAGGUAGUGACAAUAAAUAACAAUACGGGGUUCUUUCGGAUUUCGUAAUUGGAAUGAGUACAAUUUAAAUCUCUUAACGAGGAACAAUUGGAGGGCAAGUCUGGUGCCAGCAGCCGCGGUAAUUCCAGCUCCAAUAGCGUAUAUUAAAGUUGCUGCAGUUAAAAAGCUCGUAGUUGAAUUUCGGGACCAUCAUGUCGGUCGUGCCUAGGUACGUACUGGUAUUGUUGGUUUCUCCCUUCUGACGAACCAUGAUGUCAUUUAUUUGGUGUUGUGGGGAAUCAGGACUGUUACUUUGAAAAAAUUAGAGUGUUUAAAGCAGGCUCACGCUUGAAUACAUUAGCAUGGAAUAAUGAAAUAGGACGUUUGAUUCUAUUUUGUUGGUUUCUAGGAUCGACGUAAUGAUUAAUAGGGAUAGUUGGGGGCAUUAGUAUUCAAUUGUCAGAGGUGAAAUUCUUGGAUUUAUUGAAGACUAACUACUGCGAAAGCAUUUGCCAAGGAUGUUUUCAUUAAUCAAGAACGAAAGUUAGGGGAUCGAAGACGAUCAGAUACCGUCGUAGUCUUAACCAUAAACUAUGCCGACUAGGGAUCGGAUGAUGUUAAUUUUUUAAUGACUCAUUCGGCGCCUUACGGGAAACCAAAGUGUUUGGGUUC
This 798-nucleotide ribosomal RNA is filed under the name uncultured Glomeromycotina. Its description in RNAcentral is "SSU rRNA". It matches the Rfam family "Eukaryotic small subunit ribosomal RNA", at positions 314 to 1114 of the family's 1831-position model. Lineage: Eukaryota; Fungi; Glomeromycota. The record is from RNAcentral.